CCUACGGGCGGCAGCAGUAGGGAAUAUUGCUCAAUGGGGGAAACCCUGAAGCAGCAACGCCGCGUGAAGGAUGAAGGUUUUCGGAUUGUAAACUCCUUUUGUUAGAGAAGAUAAUGACGGUAUCUGACGAAUAAGCACCGGCUAACUCCGUGCCAGCAGCCGCGGUAAUACGUAGGGUGCAAGCGUUACUCGGAAUCACUGGGCGUAAAGAGCGCGUAGGCGGGAUAGCAAGUCAGAUGUGAAAUCCUAUGGCUUAACCAUAGAACAGCCUUUGAAACUGGUAUUCUUGAGUGUGGGAGAGGUAGGUGGAAUUCUUGGUGUAGGGGUAAAAUCCGUAGAGAUUAAGAGGAACACUAGUUGCGAAGGCGACCUGCUAGAACAUAACUGACGCUGAUGCGCGAAAGCGUGGGGAGCAAACAGGAUUAGAUACCCGAGUAGUC
Molecule: ribosomal RNA, 440 nt
Filed under: uncultured bacterium
Lineage: Bacteria
Description: partial 16S ribosomal RNA
Rfam family: Bacterial small subunit ribosomal RNA
Source: RNAcentral